AUUCACGUUUGUGACUGUGAGUGUGGCUAAUCACUAACUAGCCACUGUUGCUGAUUGUUGGGAAGGUGUAGGGAUAACUAUCAAAAGUUUUCCCUGCAUGACGGGCAUCUAUUUUAGAUGCCC
This is a small RNA of Nostoc sp., 123 nucleotides long. It matches the Rfam family "Nitrogen stress-induced RNA 9". Lineage: Bacteria; Bacillati; Cyanobacteriota; Cyanophyceae; Nostocales; Nostocaceae. The record is from Rfam.